AGAGAAUAGAUACCCCGGUAGUCCACGCUGUAAACGAUGGAUACUAGACUUGGUGGGUCUUGACCCCCGCCGAGUCGGCGCUAAACGCACUAAGUAUCCCGCCUGGGAAGUACGGUCGCAAGACUAAAACUCAAAGGAAUUGACGGGGGCCCGCACAAGCGGUGGAUCAUGUGGUUUAAUUCGAAGCAACGCGAAGAACCUUACCUAGGUUUGACAUCCUCUGACAGCUGUAGAGAUACAGUUUUCGUAGCAAUACGACAGAGAGACAGGUGCUGCAUGGCUGUCGUCAGCUCGUGUGGUGACAUGUUGGGUUAAGUCCCGCAACGAGCGCAACCCUUGUCCUUAGUUGCCAGCAUUUAGUUGGGCUCUCUAAGGAGACUGCCGUGGUUAACACGGAGGAAGGUGGGGAGUGACGUCAAGUCCUCAUGGCCUUAUACCUAGGCGACGACACGUGAUACAAU
RNAcentral lists this ribosomal RNA (461 nucleotides) under uncultured bacterium. RNAcentral describes it as "bacterial SSU rRNA". It matches the Rfam family "Bacterial small subunit ribosomal RNA", at positions 773 to 1231 of the family's 1533-position model. The record is from RNAcentral.